CUGGGGACCACAGAGAGCUCCUCUCGGGCCCUGAGCUUCCUGUGUCUCCCCUAG
This 54-nucleotide microRNA precursor is filed under the name Canis lupus familiaris (dog). RNAcentral describes it as "Cfa-Novel-7_pre stem-loop". Lineage: Eukaryota; Metazoa; Chordata; Mammalia; Carnivora; Canidae. The record is from RNAcentral.